GGGGUGCCGGCGCGCAGGACGGGACGCCAGGGUUUGUGUGGCGGCAGCUCGGAGAGCCGGAACUGAAAGACCAGAAACCAGCCUGCCCUAGUCAAAGAAAGUUAGGGCCCAACCAGCCUCUCCACAAGAAGCAGGGUAAGGUGGGGCAUUCAUCUCUCUGGACCCUUUUCCCCAGCCUGAGCCAGCCUUUGGGUGAGUUUCCUGCUAUCGGGAAAAUUCCUCCUCCAGUCUAACUAUGAUCACUUACAAUGAAGUUCAUUUCUGCCUCUCAGGGUCUCCCAUUUCUCUGGAGAAACCAGAAGCACAGAGAGGCCUGGGACAGAGCCUUGGGUUAGCAGGGUCCUGCCUGAUUCUGGCCCCAAAGGGCAUGGGAGAAGAAGGGAGGGAGGGGAGACCCAACCUAGAUCCAGCAGUUCUCUGCCCUGGCUCAGCAGUGGGGCCAGGCUGCAGGUUUCAAGCCCAACUCAGCACUCUUGUAGGUGCCAAUUUUAGCCUCUGCCACUAUUUUUGGGCUCCACUACCUCACCACUGGCUGAGCUGGUUGGGCUCCUCACCCCCAGCACUACCCCCACACUGUCCCUCCGGCUUCCCCUCCUUCCUAGCAACUCCUUCACCUCCUUCUUCACCCAUUCCCCUGUUUAGAAUCCUUAAAUAGCAAAGACCAGGAAAAAGGGAGAGGAAAUAAACCGUGCCCAGUUCAGGCUGGAUGGACAUUAGAAAGCAGGAAGGACUUCCGCAGGGCCACGGCUUGUUCUUUCUGGCUUGCACCUGCCAAGGAUACCUACGGGGAGGGUGUAGGAACUCCCCCAAACCAAGAGGCCUGAGGCUCCUGGCCCCAGAACUCCAGACUCACCUCCCCUGAGGUGGGCAGCCAAGACUCAGGAAUGUACUAAAUUUAAAAACAGACAGCCAGAGGCUAGAAUCUUGGCCUCAAGGUUCCACCCACUGGAGGCCCAGAGACAAGAUCUAGGGUGGGACCUCAGCUUCUCUCCCAGGCCUGGGGCAGGAGGGUGCUGCAAGCUAUGGAUAGAAUCUUAAAGGGCCACACUCCAGCCUGGGUACCCAGGAAACAUAGAAUUUGAACCCUGGGGUUUUUCAAGCGACCUCACGGUCCCUCAACUCAACUAAGAAGGUCUCUAUGAAAGAAGAGGACCCGACCCUCCAACUCUUUUCUGUCUCCCACCCCAACCUUCAGUCUACUUUCCAUCCCACCUGCUGUUACCCUACCCCUCACCCUAUGCCCUCUUCUUCCCCUUAGGAGAUGAAUAACAAGGAAAGGGACUAGGGACAGGGAAAAGAAAAGUGUUCUGCCUUUAAAAACACCUGUGUUUAGUGAGCUUGGCCUGCAGCUUGACUCAGUUUCCGUUUUCUAUAUCCUCUUGAACAAUGAACACUUUUCCCUUCUCCUUGGUGUCACCUGCCCCCCUUUUCCAAGACCCUUCUUCAUUCCAGCGUCCCCUCUACUCCUAUCCAGUGAUAUCUUCCAGAUUUUCAGAAAUAAUUUUUUUAGAUACACAGAAACAAACAUUUCUACCAGGAUCUAAAAAUAGCCACCACCUUCUUUAGCCCAUUUAACUUGAUGAAAUGUGUCCCUCCCAUUUCAGGGGUAGGGAGGAGGUCCCAGCGAAGAACCUGGUUGCCAAAGUCUUGGCCAAUUGGAGAAGAGAUGGGUCUCCCGAGGAUACCCAAGCCCAAGCUCUACGCUGUCCCAAGGUGGUUUGUUUUUCUUCUUUCUUCUAUUGGUCUGGACCUUGUAUAUUCUGGGAGGAGGUGAUUACGGCCAAAUUGCCUUAAGUGGCCAUCCAGCCAGAAGCUGGAAGAAGGGAAGGAUGAGAGGGAAUGAACUGUUGUGUUAGGGCUAUUGAGAGAAACAGUGGCAAUACACAGCCAAAGCCCUGAGUUUCUAAUACGGCGCCACCUCUUAUGAGCUGUGAGAUCUUGGGCAAAGUAACUAACCUUUAAGUAUUUGUCUGUAGAAUUGAGAUUGAAAUACUUAUCUUUGCCAGAAUUGUUAUAAGAAUUAAAUGAGUUGAGAGUGUUUCAUCAAGUGUGCAAUGCUACUCAAGUAGGAGGGACUAAGCUACUUCCUUCUCUCACUGCUUGACUGAGCUUCUCUCCAGCCCCACCCCCUGAUGUUUACUGCUUAUGGAGAAAGAGAUUAAGUGAAGCAGGCCCACACAUUCAUGAAGGUGGAAGGAAGAUGUAGCAGGAGAUGGCGGAGAGGGAAACAGAGGAAGACAGGAUGACAGACGUGGGGAGGAAAGGCUGAGCGAGGCAAUGUCCUGACUCACUCUGGCGCUUCCCUCUUUCCCAUCUGGGCUCCAGAGUCUCUGCCCUCAUUCCCCUUCACCAUGUUGCUCAACCCUCCAUCAGACUGUUAGGUCAAGGGUGGACAAACAGACCAACCGGGAUCUGGAUGGCCCCUGGGCAGUACUGACUUCCCCUACCAUUCCCACGGCAAGAAAAGGGAGUGAUUCCACUAGCAGACUCCCCUACCCUGCAGUGAGACAGCCUGUAGGAAGCUUUCAGAUUCUCCAGCUGCUCCUCUUCUGAGACUCACCCAGUCUCAUGCCUCCAUUAGCCUCAACUCCUGACCCAUGGCCUGUGGUGAGAGGUGCUAACAACAUGACCUGCUUUCGUCUUGACCUUCCCAGCCCACCCAGAGAAAAGGGAAUCUUGGCUAAAAAAAGGCUGGAAGAGGGGAAAACCCUGGCACUGCGGGUGGGGCUGGGAGGAGCCCAGGCAACCUUACUGGUGAGAAUCUCAUGGCUCUUCAAGGUGAAUAUGAUGAUGAUUUCCCUGGGGUUUCUUUCAAUACUCAGAAGCCGCCCCGAGUUGGAAAGCACAUGCAUACUUGGGGAGGCCAGGGUAGGAAAAGGGGGGCGGCUCACUCUGACAGUAAAUGAAGAAAGUGGAAACAAAUUCAAGGAGCAGGCAGAGCUCCUGGUUUCACCAGAGCCCAACGGUUGGUAAUAAGGAUGAGAACAAUGUGCCUUCACUUCCUGGGAUCAGAACAGCACAUGGCCACACAUGUACGGGUAUGCAUGUGCUUCCAUAAUCAUAUACUUUCCCAGCUUCUACUCUGCCUGUGGUCUAAUUUCAACUCCUUCAGCUGCUGUACCCACCCAUAAAAUUAUGAGUGUAAAAGCACUUUACAAACCCUGAUACUCUAUGAAGAAGUAAAAAGUAGUGCUGUAAUUAUUAUCAUUAUUAUGUCCAAUGGUUGAGGUUUCUGCUGCCCACCUGUCAGCUAUGUGAGGCCUAAAGAGAGGGAGGGCUAGGCCAUUCCUCAGCUUCUGAGGUUCCUGGCCCUUUUCCCCUUCCAUCUGUCCACAGCUGACUGCUAAGCUGGAGGCGUAGGGGAAAGCAGAGAAAAGGUGAUUUACUGGGACACAGAGACACAGGCUGGAAGAGAUAGCAUGUGUUUCCUUAAAAUUUGAAGCAUUUGGCUGGGCACAGUGGCUCACACCUGUAAUCCCUGCACUUUGGGAGGCCAAGGCAAGAGGAUUGCCUGGGCCCAAGAGUUAGAGGCUGCAGUGAGCUAUGAUUGUACCAUUGUACUCCAGCCUGGGAGACAGAGACCCCCUCUCUUAAAAAAAUAAAAAAAUAAAAAAUGGAA
Molecule: long non-coding RNA, 3619 nt
Organism: Gorilla gorilla gorilla (western lowland gorilla)
Lineage: Eukaryota; Metazoa; Chordata; Mammalia; Primates; Hominidae
Exons: 3
Source: RefSeq, a predicted model, not a curated record